This 251-nucleotide ribosomal RNA is filed under the name Lepraria ulrikii. RNAcentral's name for it is "Lepraria sp. AB-2021a partial small subunit ribosomal RNA". It matches the Rfam family "Bacterial small subunit ribosomal RNA", at positions 378 to 679 of the family's 1533-position model. Lineage: Eukaryota; Fungi; Ascomycota; Lecanoromycetes; Lecanorales; Stereocaulaceae. The record is from RNAcentral.
AUAGCUUAUUGCACCAACAAAUAGUUGAUGUAAUAUUGACUCUGUCAAAUAAAAUUCUAGGUAGAAUAAUGAUAAUGACAUUGUCUGCCUAUAUGUCUUGACCAAAUUACGUGCCAGCAGUCGCGGUAAUACGUAGAAGACUAGUGUUAUUCAUCUUUAAUAGGUUUAAAGGGUACCUAGACGGUAGAUCAAGCCUUCACAGGGACUAAUUUACUAGAGUUACUUACGAGGGGGUAUUAAAGUACUGCAGG